RNAcentral lists this ribosomal RNA (251 nucleotides) under uncultured prokaryote. RNAcentral's name for it is "partial 16S rRNA". It matches the Rfam family "Bacterial small subunit ribosomal RNA", at positions 525 to 775 of the family's 1533-position model. The record is from RNAcentral.
ACGGAGGAUCCGAGCGUUAUCCGGAUUUAUUGGGUUUAAAGGGUGCGUAGGCGGACUAAUAAGUCAGCGGUGAAAGUUCUGGGCUCAACCGAGGAAUUGCCGUUGAAACUGUUAGUCUUGAGUGUAGAUGAAGUGUGCGGAAUUCGUAGUGUAGCGGUGAAAUGCUUAGAUAUUACGAAGAACUCCAAUUGCGAAGGCAGCUCACUAGGCUACAACUGACGCUGAGGCACGAAGGUGUGGGUAUCAAACAG